UUUCUCUCCAAGACAGCCUUAAACGCAUCUUCUUCGUUUGACCGUGUCUUACCAGACGAUAACAUGGACUAUUCUUCAAAAAGAACAGAUAAACACAUCCAAAAGAUUUUUUUUUUUUUUUUUUUCUGGGACGACUUUUUCCUCGUCAGGGAGAACUUAUUCUAUAAAUACAUCUUCUCACCAAAAGAAAUCAAAUAUCAUUUUCUUCGUCAAACACAAAUUGAUAUAAACCAAAAUUUUGGCUUAUAUAAACGAUUUAUACAUUGUAAAACUCAUUAUUAUAAACAAAACCAAAAUGUAUCACCGCUUGGUUUGGUUAGUUGCUUUGAUUGUUCUAUUGUUCGUUGGAUCAUCAAACAUAGCUUCCGCUCGGAUACCAUACCAAUCCUUCAUGACAAAAAAAGAAGAACGGGUUUGGGAUAAAAUGAUGAUCAGAGAAAUCAAGAUUGAUGUGGGAGGAAGUAACUCAAGACAUGCACGUCAAGGAAAUGCACCAAAUCCAGGCG
Long non-coding RNA from Arabidopsis lyrata subsp. lyrata, 506 nucleotides. RefSeq lists it as uncharacterized. NCBI's taxonomy places the organism in Eukaryota, Viridiplantae, Streptophyta, Magnoliopsida, Brassicales, Brassicaceae. The transcript has 2 exons. The record is from RefSeq and is a predicted model, not a curated record.